RNAcentral lists this ribosomal RNA (390 nucleotides) under Synura uvella. Its description in RNAcentral is "partial small subunit ribosomal RNA". It matches the Rfam family "Eukaryotic small subunit ribosomal RNA", at positions 30 to 432 of the family's 1831-position model. Lineage: Eukaryota; Synurophyceae; Synurales; Mallomonadaceae. The record is from RNAcentral.
GCUUGUCUCAAAGAUUAAGCCAUGCAUGUCUAAGUAUAAGCAUUAUACAGUGAAACUGCGAAUGGCUCAUUAUAUCAGUUAUAGUUUAUUUGAUAGUCACACUACUUGGAUAACCGUAGUAAUUCUAGAGCUAAUACAUGCACAAAGUCCUGACCUCUGGAAAGGAUGUGUUUAUUAGAUGGAAACCAAUGCGGGGCAACCCGGUAUAUGGUGAUUCAUAAUAACUUUCGGAUCGAUCUUCGGAUCGAUGCAUCAUUCAAGUUUCUGCCCUAUCAGCUUUGGAUGGUAGGGUAUUGGCCUACCAUGGCUUUAACGGGUAACGGAGAAUUAGGGUUCGAUUCCGGAGAGGGAGCCUGAGAAAUGGCUACCACAUCCAAGGAAGGCAGCAGG